UUUUUUUUUUUUUUUUUAAAUGCCUUUUUAAACUAUGGAGACGGGAGAUUUAAAAAAAAAAGAAGGGGG
This 69-nucleotide non-coding RNA is filed under the name Eutreptiella gymnastica. The record is from RNAcentral. Lineage: Eukaryota; Euglenozoa; Euglenophyceae; Eutreptiales; Eutreptiaceae.